AAAAGCUUUCUUUAAUUGAAUAAUUGAAUUUAAUUUUUUAGUGCAAAAGCAAAAAUAAAAAUUAGGGACAAGAAGACCCUAUGAAUUUUUUAUUAAAUUUUAUAAAACUUUAUAUAAAAUUUAAUUUAAUUGGGGUGAUGGAAAAAGAAUAAAUAUCUUUUUUUUUAAAAAAAAAAUUGGUUCCGUUUUUAGCGAUUAAAUGAAAAAAAUACUCUAGGGAUAACAGCGUAAUAAUUUUGGAUAGUUCAUAUAGAUAAAAUAGUUUGCGACCUCGAUGUUGGAUUAGGAUUCUUUUUUGGUGAAGAAGUUAAAAAAAGAAGUUUGUUCAACUUAUAAUUUCCUACUUGAUCUGAGUUCAGACCGG
RNAcentral lists this ribosomal RNA (364 nucleotides) under Ixodes ricinus (castor bean tick). RNAcentral's name for it is "partial 16S ribosomal RNA". The stretch from base 219 to 364 matches the Rfam family "Bacterial large subunit ribosomal RNA", at positions 2473 to 2619 of the family's 2925-position model. The record is from RNAcentral. Lineage: Eukaryota; Metazoa; Arthropoda; Arachnida; Ixodida; Ixodidae.